UGGUGGUGGUGGUUGUUUAUCUCAUCAGUAUAUGUCCAUUUCUAUCAUGUGCAUUGUGUUGUGAGCUUCUUUCUUUCGUUCUAUUUUUUUUGUUUUUAUUUUAUUUUAUUUGUCUUCAUGUGUGUGAAUGUUAUAUUUUCAGGCUUUUUGUGACUUGUUUGGGUUUGAGGGUUGAUAAUGUAGGCUUCUGAUCUUUGGAUUUACUAUCUGGACGUCUAUUUGAAUGUUGAGUCGUGUUGUUGAUUAUUUGUUUCGUUUACAUAAUUAUUAUUUUGUGUAAUUUUUUUAAUGAUUUAUUUAAUAUCAUAAUGUAUGUGUUUAUGUUAGCUUUGAGAUUUGAGUGUCAUUUGAUGGAUAAUUCAUUAUUUCUUCUAUUCAACAUUUCUAAAUCAUUUGUUUUAAAGGAAUAUAUUUUCUUUAAAAAUGUUAAAAUAAAACUGAGUUUUAAAUGGUUUAUUUUAAAUUUGGAAUUCCUUUCAUCAUGUGUUUAUCGUAACUACUUGAUUGUAUUUUUUUACAAAUUUGAUUUGUCGAUUUUAUUUUCUUAUUGAAUGCUAUACAAUUUUUCUUUGAAGUGGCAGUAUACCAAAUUAAGGAACCAAUACAUCAAAAAGUGAGGCAUGUAUGUAUGUAUGUAUGUAAAAUUCUUGAAAAUUUAUGAUUAUUUUUAUAAA
RNAcentral lists this long non-coding RNA (674 nucleotides) under Physcomitrium patens. Its description in RNAcentral is "long non-coding RNA (PPAT_LNC004082)". Lineage: Eukaryota; Viridiplantae; Streptophyta; Bryopsida; Funariales; Funariaceae. The record is from RNAcentral.